Molecule: long non-coding RNA, 3332 nt
Organism: Empidonax traillii (willow flycatcher)
Lineage: Eukaryota; Metazoa; Chordata; Aves; Passeriformes; Tyrannidae
Exons: 3
Source: RefSeq, a predicted model, not a curated record
CGCAGCGGCCCCUGCGCUGCCCGCGGCAGGGGCGAGCGAGGCUGUCCGUCCCUCGCCCUCGCGGGCUGCGCGGACCGAGGCUGUCUCCCUGCCCGGGGAACCGAGGAAGGCUUUGCUCGAGGAAGCGGUUGCAGGGACAGGACCUUCGCCACUUGCAGGAGUAAGGCUUGAAGGCUUGGCCUUUAAGUGCUCCACUGUAACGCCGCUUGUGUGUUAACGGGGCGUUGUGUCUCGGUUUUGGAGGGCGGCUGGGCCCUUUGAAUGCCGUGGAACGUGCAGUACACACACCUGGAAAUGACCUGUGGAGGAAAAGGGAUAGGUGACUACAGUGUCGUCUCUCCAUCAACCAGGGCUGCACAGCCGCGGCUGCUGUUCUGCAGCCUGGGGAGCAGCUUUGGAGUGCCUUCUGCAGGGCUGUCGUUGACAAGCUGGAGCGUGGAUGCCUGAUUCUACACACACACGGCCCGAAAAAUAACCGGGAAAAAACGCAUUCUGCACAUAGUGGUGCUGUGUCCUAAAAAGACCCCAGAACAAUUUUUCUGCCCAGCCCCACUGCAGACAAUGCUGUGCUUUGACGCACACAUGAGGGAUAGGCUCAGACUGGGUGGGUUUUUUUCCUGUGUCUGUAUCUGUCAUGCCUAGAUUUGCCUUCAAGCAGUUUGUACUCCUAAUGAGCUGCCGUUUAAACCUACAUGCAAAAUAGAUGUGGUUUAGUCAUGCCAUUUUUGAUGCCUGUAUUCCGAAUCUAUAGUCUCAACAUUUACACUCACCCUAACAGUGGUAGCUAAAUUACAUAUACUUAGGUUUUUGGUUGUAAACUGGUUUUAUUGCUUAAAGAUCUCUGGCUAAGGCCUGCAGCCUUAGUCCCAAAUAAUGGGAUGUUCCACCUGGGUUUACCAUUGAGGUUUUGCCUUGCUUAAAUGACCUCCAAAGAUUGAUCCAGUAGUCAGAAGCUCAGGACUCUGUUUCAGAGUCACAGUUGUGAUGAUAAAGGUGGUAAUGAUGUCAAUCUUCUGCCACUGCAUAGGACUCAGAGCUGAAAGAGGCACAGGGUGGAAAUUCCACCUCUUUCUCAAGUAGAGUUUGUAACCAAAAUCUGCUUCCCCCAUGGUGAGUGCUAUAACCACUAGAAUCUGUUUGUGACUAUAGAUUCUGAAUGUUUUUGAACAAAGUUUUUAACUAAAGUAGCAAGUGCAAAAUGGGCCAAAACAUGUCCAUCCUUCUCAUCUUCUGUUUUUAUACAACUGAAAAUAUCUACAUGUUAUGUAUCACAAUACUCAACCUUCAGCCUACUUGCAUAUUUAGUUUCCACUGUAGUUUUCAUAUUUACCAACCAUAAUAAGAGUUCCAGUGGGAUUUAGACCUCUAAAUAUUGUUUAAAGAUUUGGUGAUAAAACACCUGCCUAAUUAUGAAAACUCUGCUUCUCACUUGUCUAAAUCUUCCAACACUAAAAAAUGCUUUUAAAAAAUCAGUCAUGAGCACACUUCUCUAGACAGAGGAGCACUUCCAAUUCCUCUGAAAUAGAGGACAUUUACCAUAUGCCAGGACCAAGUCUUGACAUUAAGAAGUAUGGCUACCAAAUCUACAAAUGCUUAAAUGCCUGUCACCCAAAAUCAUGAAAACUGUGCAGGAACAGAACAGAACAAUUCAUUCUGCAGAGUUGCAAGCAUCUCUGGAAACCUGAUGGGUGCAUGCAGUGUAUAUUACCAUCAAAUCCACAACAUGGAGAAAGAUGAGUCUAGUUAUAAAAUAAACAGUAUAUCUGAAGAAAUUGAAUUCUGAAAACAGCAGGAUUCAUUCUUCCCUGUCACCCUGCAUGAGUUUGGCAUUAGGUACAGAGCUCCAAACAUAAAGGUGUUCAACACCUUAGAAAGCAAAAGUGUACAGCUUUUUGGUCAAAGCAGUCCCUGGUCUUUUGGAAGGCAGUUUACCAAGAGUGUUUGUCGAAGCUUCACCACUGUUCGUUUUUGAUUGCCCAUUAGUUUUCAGUGAAUUUGUGUAGCUAGAAGUAGGGCAGAGGUUGGCUUGCAAAACUUUAGCAAGAUGAAUAUAUUUAUAUACUUAACUCUUUCUGUAAUAAUCACUAUCUAUUUUUGCAAUUUUGCAGCAUUCUGCCAAGAUCCAUGAAACCCAAAAGUUUAAAAGAGAAAGUGCACUAUAACUUGCCACUUUUAAAUUAUGUGAAUUAAGAUCAGAAUGUCAUUGUCAUUCUAUUUUCCUACCUUUUGUCACUUCUGACACACCUUUGAUGGAUCUUUUAAUAUAGGCUAUUUUGUAUUUAAAACUCCUUGUUUUUUCCUUCUUUUAUGAAAAAUCUUUUAUGGUAGGUUGUAUAACUUGUUACCAUUAUCUAGUAAGUGGAGAAGCUAGAUUUUAAAUGUUUUACUCAUCUUGCUUAAGAUUUCUCAUAAGUGAAUUGACUGCAAGAAAUAUUUAGGCAGUUUUAUAUGCACAGUUAGUGUGCUAAGUUUUGACAGCUGUAGAAAAACCCUUAUGAAAUAUCUCAAGGAGCCAGAGGUUGCAAAAUAUCACAUCCAUUCUUUUGCUUCUUUUGUCGGGAAAGGCAGCUGCUUAUUUCAGUUCUAAUAAUUUGGAACUAGUCUGCUUUUGUUUACAUUUGGAAUUUAGGGUCUGUAGUGAACGGAGCAAUGCAUGCUUAUGUAUGUAUGUUACAGGAUAGGUAAAAAAGGAUAGCUCUCUUUUUCACCUAAGAUUUUCUAACCCACUUUUGUAGUCUGGUGAUUUUUUUUUUUUACAGUCACAUCAUAACCUUAAUACAGAGAUUCAUCAGUGCUAUAGGACCUUUAAUAAAUGGUCCAAUCCUGAGGCUGUUUUGUACUUAACUCCACAUAUAUCAUGUUUAGAAUGACUGUAGCUGAAGACCAAGACAGUUUUGCCUAGCACUGCAACUUAUUGCAGUUUAUUUUGGCACCAAGUUACUGAUUCACCAUACUUCAUCAACUGUAUACACACACACACACUCGAAAAAAUAAAGUGUUAAACUGAAAACUCAAUUGGCGCAGACUGCCUCAGAGUAAAUCUUUUAUCAGUAUACAUAUUUAAGUUCACUGCAUAAUAAAUGCUUUUCUUAGCUUUCAAAAAGAUAAACUCAGGUUUUUUCAGUUGAAUUGAAGCCAAGUUCCCUCUGCUUAAAAAUUAUAAUUAUGGUAUUAGACCAGGUUCCACAGGUAGAAGAAUGUAGACAGCAUGACACACAGUUUCUGAUCUGAUGUUUUACAAGUGCUAUCAAGUGACCCUGCCUCUGCAAGUUUUUAAAAUGCUCCCUACCUACACUUAGUCAUUAGUGACCUUAAGGAUAUGUUGUAGCUGG